This is an RNA transcript of Arachis duranensis, 1393 nucleotides long. It is a transcript of the gene named ABC transporter I family member 6, chloroplastic, with no coding region annotated. The record is from RefSeq and is a predicted model, not a curated record. The transcript is spliced from 7 exons. NCBI's taxonomy places the organism in Eukaryota, Viridiplantae, Streptophyta, Magnoliopsida, Fabales, Fabaceae.
UAAGAAGAGGAUUAAGGAUUCUCAUCCUCCGAAUAAGUCAACAAAAAACAAGAGAUUUUUUGUUUCAGUAUUUGCUUCUGGUUUUGCAGACCGAGAGUGAGAUGGGACUCUUAUCACUUACAUUCCAUCCUUCUCCCGCUUUCAAUCCCUCGAUUUUUACGCUUCCUCCCCACCGCUGCCACCGCCCCUCUUCACUCGCCGUCAGAGCCACUUCCGCCGCCGGCACCCCGCAGCCUCUGCUCCAAGUCAAUGACCUGAGGGCGAAGAUCCUGGAAUCCGGCGUCGAGAUUCUCCACGGCGUCAACCUCACGGUCAACGAGGGAGAGGUUCACGCCAUCAUGGGAAAGAACGGUUCCGGGAAAAGCACUUUUGCUAAGGUUCUUGUGGGUCACCCUGAUUAUGAGGUUACUGGAGGCAGUGUUGUGUUCAAAGGGGAGAAUUUGCUUGAAAUGGAACCCGAGGAGCGGUCACUAGCUGGUCUUUUUAUGAGUUUCCAGUCCCCUGUUGAGAUUCCUGGUGUUUCUAAUGAUGAGUUUUUGGUCAUGGCAUAUAAUGCACGGAGGCGAAAGCUUGGCCUCCCUGAGCUUGGACCACUCGAGUGCUUCUCUUACCUGAUGGAGAAACUCCAGCUUGUUAACAUGAAGCCGGACUUCCUCAAUAGGAAUGUCAAUGAAGGAUUCAGUGGUGGAGAACGCAAACGCAAUGAAAUUUUGCAGCUUGCGGUUUUGGGGGCAGACUUGGCUAUUCUGGACGAAAUUGAUUCUGGAUUGGAUGUUGAUGCACUCAGAGAUGUUGCAAAUGCAGUCAAUCGUAUACGUGCCCCAAAGAAUUCUUUGAUGAUGAUAACUCACUAUCGAAGAAUACUGGAUCUUUUAAAUCCGACACAUGUCCAUGUUAUGGACAAAGGGAAAAUUGCGAGGACAGGUGACAUAUCCAUUGUAGAAACUAUUGAGACUGAGGGAUAUGAAACAGUUGCAGCUUUGACCUAAUAAAUCUUAAUCCUUUCUCUGUUCCAGUUUGCUAGAAGAUGAGCAAACCUUUUGAAGGUUGAAUCUCAUUGCAUCGACAUUAAUCUCAAUACCAUCAUCGCAGAUUAUGAGCAGAAUAAUAUUUUCUUUCAGGCACACUACUGGGUGAGUUCAGCCAUGUUGUCUUGAAAGAUGUUCUUUUCCAGGUAUGUAAGCAAUGUUAACUGAAGCGAUUGCACUUAUACUCUGCUUUCUCCUUUCAUUCUGUGUAAAGCUCGUGUUGGCUGAUGUCAUGUGUUCACCACUUAGGAUGUUAAUCUUCUGGGCAUUACCAUAGGCAUUGAUACAGAAAUACAAUAAUACUGUUAAACUAUGAUAUGAAUCUACUUAAUUCUCAACAGAGCUAUUAGCGUGGAUAUUUUGAA